ACCUGCAUCGAAAGUGAUCGUGGCUCUACAAGUUGCCUGGUCAUUGAUACUGCAGGGAGAGAGACUGUGAUGGCUUUUCCCGUGUUUGGAUGCUUUUAUUAUACAUGCCAAACCCUGUAACCGUCAUACA
Molecule: small nucleolar RNA, 130 nt
Filed under: Leptobrachium leishanense (Leishan spiny toad)
Lineage: Eukaryota; Metazoa; Chordata; Amphibia; Anura; Megophryidae
Description: Small nucleolar RNA SNORA71 (ENSLLEG00000014997.1)
Rfam family: Small nucleolar RNA SNORA71
About the family: The members of this family belong to the H/ACA class of snoRNAs which bind a number of proteins (including dyskerin, Gar1p and Nop10p) to form snoRNP complexes.
Source: Rfam by way of RNAcentral